GCGUUCUUAGGACUAGUUUGACCUGAGUUUUUUUUUUGACGUAGGAACUUUUUAUCUCAAAAACUAUUCAUUCUUUCAAAUUAUAAUAUAAUUUGCACCGCUUCCAUUUUCUUUUUAUAUACAAUAUUUAUAUUUAUUUAUUUAUAACUUAGAACAAUUUACUACUUCCACCUUGUUUUCAUUAGUUUUUUUAGGUGUUAAAUUAGUCCACCGAAAUUGGCAUAAGAGAGAAUUGAACCUGAGACUUUAAGGAGGGGCAUACUCCCAACUCUCAAGUCUCAAGUCAAUACCACCAGACCAACCCAAGUGGGUUUGUUUUCAUUAAUUAUUAAAGAAAUGGAUAAAACUUUUCUUCUCUAACCUUGGAAAAAAGGUAUUUUUGUAUCUUAAGAGCUCAUUUGGUGCGCAGG
Molecule: long non-coding RNA, 410 nt
Filed under: Trifolium pratense (red clover)
Lineage: Eukaryota; Viridiplantae; Streptophyta; Magnoliopsida; Fabales; Fabaceae
Description: long non-coding RNA (TPRA_LNC004699)
Source: RNAcentral